UACCCCGACACAAGCCUUCGCAUUUUUCCCCUACGCAAACCUUCACCUUUGCAAUUUUACCGAUGACAACCUUCUCGUUUUUCCCUAACGCACAACCUUCGUGUUGAGACGUCUUCACUUCCUUUCCUCUCUGCACUCUAGCGUCACUGGGGGAAUUGACCUUGGAUAGGUUAUCCUCUUUGAGAUUUCUUGACCACGGGAAGAAGAGGCAAGUGCUUUCUAGGAGUUUGAGCUUGAGUAUGCCAUUUCUAACUGAUCUGGUCUUACAAGCCCAGUAGCUCAUCCACCAGGUUGGUUUUUGACAUCUCCUACCCUAUGGUUUCUCUCUUCUUCAUAUGGGAUAAGUAUAUGUGUUCUUUAGGGGAAGGGAUUUUUCAGAAUUAGGGGGAUGGGAUUUUUCAAAAUUAGCCACUUCUUUAGGGGGAUAAUUAGAUGUGUUCUUGCGUUUUCUUCUGACUUUCCGUAAAUUUAUCACUCAAAUGAUAUUUUGGAUGUUAGAUCAAUCACUAUUGUUAGAUCAAUUACUGAUGUUUCUCUCCUUGCCUAAACCAUUUAAGUAUUUUUUUUUUAUUGAAAUAAGUUGCUCAUUGAUUAUUUGUUGAACCCUUUUUGGUCAUGGAUUUCAUAAUAUGUGAAUUUCAGAUUGAAACCUUCAUGAAUGGACUAUCCAUUGAACCCUUUUGGUGUUCAAAACUUCAUCUAUAACAUUAACUCAUAGAUCUACUGAUAUGAAAAGGAAUCUCUUGUCUUAGAUUGGAAUGCAUACAUAGAUAUACUAAUAUGAUUCUUCUAACACUUGUACAAUUUAUGAAUCGAGUGUCAUGAUUGUUGAGUGUCAUUUAUGAUAAUAUUAGAAUGGUAGCAAACUCAUUUAAAGCCACAUCUUAUCCAUUAGAGAAAUGUUAUGCAAUGUAGGUUGACCAUUUUGUAGUUCUCUCUACAAUGCAAUUUUCUAUUUAUAAUGCAAUUAUCCCCUCUUUCAUAUUAAUGAUAUCUUUGUUAAUCUCUUUGUUGAGGAAAGAUAAAAAAAUUAUUGAAACUCAUACAUGAGCUUCCUAUGUUCAUCUUAAUUACUCCUCUUAUUUCCUAUUGUUGAAAUUUCUUUUAGCUUUAAUUGGACUUAACUUAAUUAGAAUCCUUAAUUUCUCUAUGCAAUUCAAGCUUCAGGUUUAUUCUAUAUGCACUCUCCUUAAUUAGCACAGUAUUGUCUACAAAUAACAAAUUGAUUUGAAAUUUACAUUAUCACCCAACAUGUUAAAUAAUAACAUAUUAGACAUAUGAGACUAUAUGCAAUCUAAAAUACAUGAAACAGAAGUAUAAGAAUGCAUGCCAAUCUACUGAAGCAAUGUGUAAUAGUAUGGAGAAAUCAUUAGAGUAAAUCUUUUGUUUAUGUAUUAGUUUUUUAUUUCAAACUGAUUUAAUUAGUAUUAGAUUGGACAUGAUUGAAAUUUAAGGGAUAAAUUACCCUCAUAUAACUCUCAUGUGAGAGGCUUAUGUUUUUUUUUUCUCUAAAAAUUCUUCCAACUGCAUGACACAUGCAGUAAGCAAGCACAGAUGUGGCGGUCUAUGAGGUCCAAAAUUCAUAUUGAUAAAAAUGCAUAUUAUAUUUCUAACAAUGUGUGUUAAUCAAUCAACCUAUGCGAUCUGCAUCUUUACAUACAAAACUAUUUGUUAAGAUAUGCAAUCAAUGUAAUAGAAAUACCCAAUCAAUGAACCUAAGAAAUUCAUAUGCAUUUUGGAAAGAUGCAAAUACAUACAAGCAUAUGAGAUUUAGGGUGCUUUAUAAGUUACCCCGUUUCUGAAAAUGCAUAUGCAAAUCCACUUUUUAAAACAUAAACAUUUUUAAUUUGUUUUCUUGGUCACUAACUCUUGAUCUUCAGAGCCAGUCUAGUUAUUCCUUCUAUUCUACUGAUUAAUCUUUGGGAAUAUUUUGUUAAGAACAAUAGUGUGUGCUAUUAUGUUGAAGUUGGUGUUCUUAUGGUUGGAGACAACCAUGUAUGGUUUUUCCUUCAAAACUCAACUGCUAGUUUGAUGAAGUUGUUGAAAAAUUCAGGUAAUCAUCUUCUUUAAUAAAACAAAUAAAUGAUCAUAUUGCUUAGUUAAAGUUAAAGUUUGCUUAGUUACAUUGUGGGAAGAGAUCUUAGUUAAAGUUUUGCUUAAAGUUUUAUGAUGAUGAUGAUUAUGGUUACCUUGUAUGUUCUAGUUUUUUUAAUGUUGAUGUCAUAGUCCUUUGGUUAUGUUCUAGUUUUUACCUUGUACGAUCUCCCGAAAAGGAUAUUGUAGCAAACUGAGAUGCAUACUCGUGAGAAAUAGUGUAGCUAAUAGGCACCGAGUAGUCUUUGAAUUAAAAUCAUCCCGUGCUUUCCUUAAGUGCAUCCAGUGCUUUUCUUUCUCAAUGGAAUUUAUUGUUGGUUCAAGUGAGGGCAGAACAAACUUUAUACAGAAAAAAACAUCGUCAUCUUGCACAACAGUACAUAAUUGGCACGGUAUAUCAUCAAUUAGAAUUGCCAUUAUGCGUUGUCAUGCAAUAACUACUCAAAGUUAAGUCCAAGCUUAUCGAUCACUGCAUAGAGUAACACUACCAUUGGUACUCAAGAACUAGAAAAAAGAAAACCUAAUGUCUCGGUUUCUCCUGCAUUUUUUUUUCUUUUGGUCCAAAUUAUGUAUAUGAGUGUAGCAUUUUUUUGCCAUUACCUUACAAUUACCUUGAAGACAAUAGAGCUGAGUAUGUCUCAUUUAUAUAUCCUGAUUACAUAUCUAUAUGCGGUGUCCGCAAAGAUGAUAGUAAAUUAUCACAACAUAUUACUGUUCAGUUGGGAGCAUCAAAUAGAUAUAACAUCUACCACUAUAAAAAAAAAUCACUAUUUUGGGACAAAUUUAUAAAAUAUUUUCAUUACAAAAUUUUUGGGGACGAAAUAUGCGACGAAAAAAUUUUUGUCCCAAAAUUCUCGUUGCCAACUUGGCGACAAAUUGGGGGAUGAAAUUAGCGACAAAUAGUAUCUUUGUCGCCAAAUUCGUCACCAAGUUUGCAACAAAAAUAAUAUUCGUUGCAAAUUGUUGCAAACUUGGGGAUGAAUUUGGUGACAAAAUUGGCAACAAAUUUAAAUUUUGUCGUCAAAUUCGUUGCAAAUUCUGCAACAAAAAUAAUAUUCGUCGCAAAAUUAUCUUUAACAAAAAUUAUUUGUCCCAAAAUUUCAUCCCUAAUCUAUUGAUUUUUUGUAGUGUACUUUAUCCCAUACAACACUAGGUAAGAUUUUAAUUAUUUAUCAAUUCCUAUUAUAUACUAGUCAAUGUUAUAUUUUCAUUUGUCAAGGUACCAUUGGAUCUUGACUAUAAUUAAUGAAGAUAAGAAUAUGAUAUAUUUAUUAGACUUUUUGAGUAACAUGAAUCAAGACCAUGCUUAACAAACUAUUAUGACCAAGUAGCUAGUAGAUAAUGCUGAUUGUGAAUACAUUCAGUUCAUUAGAGAUUGUAAAAGUAACUUUCUAUUUUUUAUAAUAUAGUGGGGUACAAUGUAUCAAGGGGCAUUUUAAAAAGAUGAGGUUUUAAACAAUUGACAUUAUAUAUUGUGACUAUUUAGGUAUCAAUUAAUAAUUCAUAUUAUUUGGAUUGUAACUAAUUGCAUUACAUUUUUAAUUUUAUUAGGGUAAUCUAAAACAAUAUAUUAUGACCAAGUAGGUAGUAGAUAAUGCUGAUUGUGAAUACAUUCAGUUCAUUAGAGAUUGUAAAAAUAACUUUCUAUUUUUUAUAAUAUAGUGGGGUACAAUGUAUCAAGGGGUAUUUUAAAAAGAUGAGGUUUUAAACAAUUGACAUUAUAUAUUGUGACUAUUUAGGUAUCAAUUAAUAAUUCUUAUUAUUUGGAUUGUAACUAAUUGCAUUACAUUUUUAAUUUUAUUAGGGUAAUCUAAAAUAAAAUAGUGGUGUUGAAUGUGGAUAUUGUGUAAUGUGGUACAUGAAAGAGAUAGUUUUAAAUGAAGAUCCAUAAUUAGAGAGGAAGAUGAAUUUCUUUUUUAUGAAAUAUCUUUUUUUAUAAAAUAUUGAGUCAUUCUGCGUUGAUCCUCAAACUUCUGUUAAUACUUUAGCUUGCAACAUCAAAUAACAUUACAAUCAAUCUUAGUAUAAUGAAGUCAAAAGUGAAUAAAGCUAAUUCGUCUACUUCUACAUGGGUGUCUAAGUGUAGGAUGUGAUAUAAAUUUUGGAUUGUAUAUAGAGAUUUAUGGAUACAAAAGAAUUUGGGUGAAGUUAGUCAAACUUGUCUUUUGUGAAUAUACUUUUAUGUUAUAUUUAAAAAUAUAUGGAUACAAAAGGUUUUGGGUGAAGUUAGUUAAACAUAUCUUUUAUGAAUGUAUUUUUGGAUUGUAUUUGAUAGAUAUUUGUAAUAUAUUUGUUCAAUUUAGUGGUGAAAAAUAUUGUGUUAUAGUAAAAUAUUAGGAUAUACACUUUUGUCAAUUAAAAUUUUAUUAUAGUAAAAUAUGAUCAAUUACUUUGACACUGUGAAUAAAUGGUGAAGUAAUACAACAUAAAAGACUUCGUCAAAUUUCAAUAGUGGCAUAGUUAAAGACACUAGUCACUUCACCAUUGAUCAAAUUUAUGAAGUCGUCUAUAUAAAUUACUUGGAUAAAUUGAAUUUUUAUUGUAGUAAAAUAUGCUCUAUUACGUCUACACUAUAAUAAAUAAUACAAUAAAAAAUACUUCAACCAAACUAAAUUAUAUAGAAGUAAAAUUAAACAUUUGCUACACCAUAAUACAAAAUUUGUGAAGUCAUAUAUAUAUUUUACUUCGUUAAUCAAUGUAAUCUAUGAAGUCAUAUACUCAACUACUUCGGUACUAUUAUAUAACUGAUAAAAUAAUAAAGCCUUUUUACUUCAAAAUCAAUCUAAUUUCAAACCGAUUUUGAACCAGCGAAAGAUUUUAGUACUUUUGUAGCAAAGUAAUAAACUGACCCUUUUACUUAACAUACGUCUACUUUGGUAAUUAUUUACCUAUUACUUUGGAUAAUAUCCGAAGUCUAUUGAACAUUUUCAUAUACUGUGAGGUAUUCAAGUCACCUUAGUCAUGGAGGCGUAUAUUUUGACAUCUUAAUCAAUACAUCUCCAUAGAGGUGUGAGUACAGGAUGAUUGGGUAUAAAUCAAAGUGUCUGAAGGUGUUUGAAUAGCUCAUAGAAGAUUCACCGUUCCUUGCAAAAGGAAAUGUAUACCCUACAACUAUUUGUUAGGAUUGUUACUUAAAGUCUUUGGCCAAAGUAUUAUAUAUCAAGAAUACGGUACUCUUGGACACAUAUCUAAGUAAUUUCAAUCCACAUAAUGAGAAAGUAUGACUUGGGCUAGGUGUGACAUAGUCAGCUUAGUGAAGACUAACACAUAGACCAUAUCCUGAACUAAGUGUGUAUAAGAUGAGUGAAAAAAACAAGACAUGGCUCACUAUAGCUGCUGAAGGGUUCAAAAAGUGGUAUUGAGAUCAACCAUUGAUUUCUGGUCAAUUGAGAGUUAUGAUGUACUACUAGGUGUCACUCAUGAUCUAUUCAAAAUUAACAUAAUUAAUGGUUAAUUAUGAAUGAUCAAUAUAACUGAGAACAUAUUGAGUCACAUGCACUAUAAAUUUAUCCGAAAGACUUAAAAUAAGUUUGAAAAUUAUAUUUUUAAAAUCAAGAGAGAUUGAGUCUGGUUGGACUAGACGAAGGGUAAAUAUGGAAGAUAUUUUAUUAGAAUGGAAACACAGGUGGACCACAUCUUUUGAAGAUGAAUUGAACCCUCUUUGGUUUAAUUAUAAACUAAAUUGGUUUAGUUUUAAUUAAAAGAGGUUUAGUUAUUAACCAAGUGGUCUCGUUUUGAACCAAACUUAUGGCUAAUAGUUUAGAAUUUAGGUCAGUGGUAACGGAUUUGGAUUCGCUAAUUAAACUUGAUAAGAUAUCUAUAUAUUGAUAUAGAUUGAAGAGAAAAUUUAAUGAAUUGAAUCAUAACCUAAGGUUAGGUUUUUUGUUCUCUCCCUCUCCCUCUUUGUGCUAAAUCCUUCUUUGCACCACCACUAAUAUCGAUCGAUGACACUGCUAUUCAACGCCUAUAUUGAUUGACAUCACUAUUGUUCGACAUCGCCACCGAUCGACACCUCUACCGUUAGGUGUCGACACCUCGUUUGGUAUCGUCGGGUUGCCUUGAGCCGCUAGACACCAAGUCGAGCUUUGGCUUCCUCUCUCAAAUCCAUCUUUCCCUCAUUUAGCUAGUACCGAAUCUGAGAUGAAAACUUGUGACUUAACGAAGCCGUCUCAACAAUUGCUCAGCGUGGAUACGAAUAGAGGCGAGGUUUUAUAGCCUCACUGGUUGAUGUCAUUUCUACUCCACGUUAUCCGGUAGGUAUAAUUUUUAUCGUAAAAUUUUAUAUUGUGGUUAUGUCUAGCAUGUUGUAUCUUGUAUGUGUGUGAUACAUGUGUUAUAAUAAUUAGUUUAAUUAUUAUUUGUCUUCCACUGUACAUUUGUGAAAUGUGUCCAAUGCACGCAUCCAUCGGCCUCCCCAACAAGACACACCCGAUCACCUAAGAUAAAAGGACUUGCAUUCGUCAACAUACAUCAUAGUGAAACUAAACCUUAAUUUUUCUUUCCAAACUAACUUUCUCACUAUUUUCUCUCGAUCUCUUUUGGUUCUUUACCUAAACCUUCUAGAUAAAUUGCUUCACAAGUAUUUUGGUACUCAAUACAGUUCCAAUGGAAGAUAUUAUUGUAUUACUUGACGACAUUGUGUACUUUCAGAAUAACAUACAUCAGUGACUGGAUGCUUAGAAAUUGGUGUAAAGUGCUAGAAGGUCAACAGUGACUGAAUAUUUGACAGUUGGUGUAAAAUCUGAGUAGGUUAACAAUGACCACAUGAUGGCAUUUGGUGAGCGUCCAAGUAGGUAAAUGCGUUGAUGCUUUGCAAUUGGUAAAGUUAAGUCAUUCAAAAGAGACCGGAUGUUUGAAAAGGGUAAAAUUCCUAGAAGGAAACCAGAUGUUAAUUAAGAGUAAAAACUCAAAAGGAGUGAAAUCAAGAUAGGUGUAAAGUUCAUGCAAAUCAAAAGGGAAUCAAAUUCUUGGCAACGGAAAAAGUCUUAAAGGAGUAAACUUUAGGUAGGUACCAAAGUGAACUCCAAGCAAAUCUUGAUAAAUCAGGUAGAAUAGAUGCUAGACAUGCUUAGUAGGUUAGGUAAACCAAUUAUUAAGCAUACGUGUAUAUUCUAUGUUGUAUUUGGACUACCCCUUAUGUUGUAGGGAAAACAUGAUUUUUGGCUAUAAAAAAAUGGUUCUGUCGACUAAAAGUUUCAAGUGAUCGAAGGGAAUCCAUGCAACCUAAGGUCAAAGAUAAGCCUCAGGCAGGUGAUGUGGCUAGAUGAUGUUUUUCAUUCCGGUGAUCAAAAGUGAUUCAAAGGUCUAGAUCGACAUCCAAUCAGCACAAGAUGUUGCAUGUACGUGGACACAAAAAAUUGACAAAGGGGGAGACUAGGAGAUCAGAUGAAGAUUUGGGAAACUUGAUAGUGGACAACAAAGACUAAACGGUUAGAGAAUGUCAAGUUUCAAGCGAUUGGAACAUUCUUCAAUCACCCAAAACAUCACUAUUUAUACAGCUUCAAGCAAAUAAUCACAAUCAAUUAAUUUCUCAUUCAAUGUUCUAAAAAGUUCACGAAAUGUUGUCUAGUUGAUCUAAGAAGUGCUAAAACAAGUACAGUUGCAUUUAGAGCUUCGAGAAACAAUUAAGUUUUUGUAAUAUUUUGUUAUUUAAAAUGAUAUUAUUAUUAUUUUUUGCAUU
Zingiber officinale is the source of this 7774-nucleotide long non-coding RNA. RefSeq lists it as uncharacterized. The record is from RefSeq and is a predicted model, not a curated record. The transcript has 2 exons. Lineage: Eukaryota; Viridiplantae; Streptophyta; Magnoliopsida; Zingiberales; Zingiberaceae.